This 351-nucleotide RNase P RNA is filed under the name Pelolinea submarina. RNAcentral's name for it is "anaerobic bacterium MO-CFX1 Bacterial RNase P class A". It matches the Rfam family "Bacterial RNase P class A". From Rfam's summary of the family: Ribonuclease P (RNase P) is a ubiquitous endoribonuclease, found in archaea, bacteria and eukarya as well as chloroplasts and mitochondria. Lineage: Bacteria; Bacillati; Chloroflexota; Anaerolineae; Anaerolineales; Anaerolineaceae. The record is from Rfam by way of RNAcentral.
CGGGUUGGCCGGAUGAUCGCGGCAUGCACCGCAUGUCGAGGAAAGUCCGUACUCCAUAGAGCACGAAACCGGGGAAACCUCGGGACGGGGUAACCUGUCGGAUAGGGCCACAGAAACAUACCGCCUUUCGGGGUAAGGGUGAAAUGGUGGUGUAAGAGACCACCGGGAACCGCAGUAAUGCGUUCGCCGGGCAACCCCUUUCGGGAGCAAGGUUAAACAGAUGCCUGGUCUCCACAGGCCGCUCACCUGGCCGGCGCAAGCCGGCGGCGUCAGGUAAACCGCUCAGACAGAUGAUCAUACAGGCAGGCUUUGCCUGCCGGACAGAAUACGGCUUAUAGACCAACCCGGGUU